AUGUGUGGCUAAACCUCCUUUCAAAGCCUGAUCUCGUCAGGUCUCAGAAGCUAAGCAAGGCAGGGCCUAGUUAAUACUUGGAUAGGAGAUCGCUGGGAAUUCCAGGUGCCACAGUGG
RNAcentral lists this ribosomal RNA (117 nucleotides) under Periophthalmus magnuspinnatus. The record is from RNAcentral. Lineage: Eukaryota; Metazoa; Chordata; Actinopteri; Gobiiformes; Gobiidae.